Molecule: ribosomal RNA, 301 nt
Filed under: uncultured bacterium
Lineage: Bacteria
Description: partial 16S ribosomal RNA
Rfam family: Bacterial small subunit ribosomal RNA
Source: RNAcentral
CAGUAGCCGCGGUAAUACAGAGGAUGCAAGCGUUAUCCGGAAUGAUUGGGCAUAAAGCGUCUGUAGGUGGCUUUUCAAGUCCGCCGUCAAAUCCCAGGGCUCAACCCUGGACAGGCGGUGGAAACUACCAAGCUGGAGUACGGUAGGGGCAGAGGGAAUUUCCGGUGGAGCGGUGGAACGCGUUGAGAUCGGAAAGAACACCAGCGGCGAAAGCACUCUGCUGGGCCGACGUUGACACUGAGAGACAAACACUAGGGGAGAAAAUGGGAUUAGAUACCCCCGUAGUCCCUGUCUCUUAUAC